This 424-nucleotide ribosomal RNA is filed under the name uncultured archaeon. Its description in RNAcentral is "bacterial SSU rRNA". It matches the Rfam family "Archaeal small subunit ribosomal RNA", at positions 860 to 1283 of the family's 1478-position model. The record is from RNAcentral.
AGGAAUUGGCGGGGGAGCACUACAACGGGUGGAGCCUGCGGUUCAAUUGGAUUCAACGCCGGAAAGCUUACCGGGUCAGACAGCAAUAUGAAGGUCAAGCUAAAGACUUUACCGAAUUCGCUGAGAGGAGGUGCAUGGCCGUCGUCAGUUCGUAUCGUGAGACAUCCUGUUAAGUCAGGCAACGAGCAAGACCCGUGCCCACAGUUGCCAGCAUACCCUCCGGGGUGAUGGGCACACUGUGGGGACCGCCGCUGCUAAAGCGGAGGAAGGUGCGGGCUACGGUAGGUCAGUAUGCCCCGAAUCAUCCGGGCUACACGCGGGCUACAAUGGUUGGGACAAUGGGCACCUACACCGAGAGGUGAUGGUAAUCUCCUAAACCCAGCCUUAGUUCGGAUUGAGGGCUGCAACUCGCCCUCAUGAAGCC